UUCCAAGCUCAGCCCCCUCACCAUGUGAUGCCCUGAGCUGUCUUGGAACUCUGCAGAGAGUCCCCACCUGCAAGAAGGCCCUCACCAGAUGUGGCCCCUCUACCUGGGACUUCGCAGCCUCCAUAACUGGUAGCUGCCCUUGGCAACUCUCGGGUUACAAGAAGCUGGGCAGGAGAUUCCUGUGACAUUUCAGCAGAGUCACGAGUGGGUGGGAUGGGGAAGCUCCGAGCUGCAAAAUAGCUUGCAGUGCCUCGGAGAGGUGGCGCUGGCUAGCCUGGGACUUCCAACAUACAGCCUACAUUGAUGGCCUGAGACUUGUGGCAAAAAAGACUUUCAAAAUCUAAUUUGCUCACAUACAUGAACACCUGCCAGGAAGGAAUUUGAGGCCUUUGUUCUAAACAUGGAAAAGCUGAGUUCAUUUGCCCCAGAGGGGGCACCUGCAGGGAAAAGGAAAAAUGGUUUUAACCCUUUCCUUGAGUCAGAAAAUGAGGCCACCAGAUUCUCCUUUCAUCCUUCAAGUAUCAGAAAGGUCUGUGCUGUGAAUUCCACAGAUGAGAUUCAUUGCAAGAUGUGAGGGCAGAGGAAAUCCAUGGAAAUGAAAUCCACAUUCAAACUGGAUGCAUGCGUUCAGCAACUGGAAGCUGAGUUCAUAUUUCAUUGCCCAACUACCCUGACCACUUGGGAAUCGCAGGUUUGGAAGGACCCACAGCCAUUCUGUGGAAAUGGAUCUGCUUUCAGGACCGAAUCUCAGACUUCUUGGGGAAGGUUUCAGUGGCUGCCUUUGCUGUGCAGACCUGGAGAUGGGUCUGAUGAUCGGACACCUGAAUUAUCUGUGUGGCUGAGUUUCAAGAAGACCUGCUGGGGUGAAAUGAAAAUGGUGCCUACUAGAAGCCCCAGUGGCUUUGCUGGUGGAGAUUUGCUCCUCCACUGGCUCUUCUUGUAGACACACGACUGCUACAGUAUCAAGGGUCUGAUGCAGACAUGACAAUGUCAAGAGGAAGAGGAGAGCCUCGCUCUUCCCAGGCUUUUGCUUUUAAGAGCAGAAAAACUUUCCCCAGAGUUCCACCAGCUCACUUCUCAUCUUACUUCUUUGGCCAGAACUGGCCCUUGUGCCCAUAUUGUCAGUCAAAUGCCGACAAAGGAAAGGGGCCACUAUGAGUGGUUUAGACUUGGAUUGGAUUUGUCCUUAUUGGAUUGUCCUUAAGUCCUUUGAAAAAGAAGUAUACAACAGAAUGAAAUCUUGACUCAGCUUUCAAGAAUAAAGAGGGUGAGAUGACUGAUGGAUGGCUAGCAAAAUCAGAUGUGGGCUCUGUCCUCAUGGAGCAUACAGUCAGAAGGGGAAGAUUUACCUAAUUACACUAACAAACUUAUAACUGUGGUCAGUGUUCUGAAGGAAAGGAAAUCCAGUUGUAUGGGGAAAAUGCACACAUGCUCAAACAAUUUUGCGUCUAAUUUCGUGAACCUACUGAAGUUCGUCCAUAGAAACCCAGAGGACCAGGGCAUGAAGAACUUGUAAGCCAUGCCAUGGAAGGCAAGACUUCAUCCAGAGGGCAGUGAGGAUACUACAACAGGU
This 1573-nucleotide long non-coding RNA is filed under the name Homo sapiens (human). RNAcentral describes it as "HSALNT0097727". The record is from RNAcentral. Lineage: Eukaryota; Metazoa; Chordata; Mammalia; Primates; Hominidae.